RNAcentral lists this ribosomal RNA (846 nucleotides) under Streptosporangium sp. RNAcentral's name for it is "bacterial SSU rRNA". It matches the Rfam family "Bacterial small subunit ribosomal RNA", at positions 78 to 952 of the family's 1533-position model. The record is from RNAcentral. Lineage: Bacteria; Bacillati; Actinomycetota; Actinomycetes; Streptosporangiales; Streptosporangiaceae.
CUUGGGGUCUCGAGCGGCGACGGGUGAGUAACACGUGAGUAACCUGCCCUUCACUCUGGGAUAAGCCCGGGAAACUGGGUCUAAUACCGGAUACGACACCCCCUCGCAUGGGGUGGGUGUGGAAAGUUUUUUCGGUGGGGGAUGGACUCGCGGCCUAUCAGCUUGUUGGUGGGGUAACGGCCUACCAAGGCGACGACGGGUAGCCGGCCUGAGAGGGCGACCGGCCACACUGGGACUGAGACACGGCCCAGACUCCUACGGGAGGCAGCAGUGGGGAAUAUUGCGCAAUGGGCGAAAGCCUGACGCAGCGACGCCGCGUGGGGGAUGACGGCCUUCGGGUUGUAAACCUCUUUCAGCAGGGACGAAGUUGACGUGUACCUGCAGAAGAAGCGCCGGCUAACUACGUGCCAGCAGCCGCGGUAAUACGUAGGGCGCAAGCGUUGUCCGGAAUUAUUGGGCGUAAAGAGCUCGUAGGUGGCUUGUCACGUCGGGUGUGAAAGCUUGGGGCUUAACUCCAGGUCUGCAUUCGAUACGGGCUGGCUAGAGGUAGGUAGGGGAGAACGGAAUUCCUGGUGUAGCGGUGAAAUGCGCAGAUAUCAGAGGAACACCGGUGGCGAAGGCGGUUCUCUGGGCCUUACCUGACGCUGAGGAGCGAAAGCGUGGGGAGCGAACAGGAUUAGAUACCCUGGUAGUCCACGCUGUAAACGUUGGGCGCUAGGUGUGGGGACCUUCCACGGGUUUCCGCGCCGUAGCUAACGCAUUAAGCGCCCCGCCUGGGGGAGUACGGCGCAGCUAAACUCAAGGAUUGACGGGGCCCGCACAGCGGCGGAGCAUGUUGCUUAAUUC